This 142-nucleotide small nuclear RNA is filed under the name Amborella trichopoda. RNAcentral's name for it is "U4 spliceosomal RNA". It matches the Rfam family "U4 spliceosomal RNA". From Rfam's summary of the family: U4 small nuclear RNA (U4 snRNA) is a component of the major U2-dependent spliceosome. The structure of U4 snRNA from yeast and human has been reported. U4 snRNA presents a k-turn RNA motif in the 5p-SL related to recognition of Snu13 protein. The record is from Rfam by way of RNAcentral. Lineage: Eukaryota; Viridiplantae; Streptophyta; Magnoliopsida; Amborellales; Amborellaceae.
AUUCUUGCUUGGGCAAUGAUGCAGCUACUGAGGUAUAACUGAGGUGCGUCAAUUGCUGGUUGAAAACUAUUUCCAUUAUUUCUAUCAUUCUUUUUGUGUAUUCAUAUUAGUGCACCAUUAAUUUUGUCAUUGUUUUCAUUCA